Lolium perenne is the source of this 3311-nucleotide non-coding RNA. NCBI's taxonomy places the organism in Eukaryota, Viridiplantae, Streptophyta, Magnoliopsida, Poales, Poaceae. The record is from RefSeq and is a predicted model, not a curated record.
AUGUUCCUUAUUCUGCCAGCCAGCAUACGUCAACCUCUUUCGUCGUCCGUCCUUCCGUUCGUUCAUCGCACCUUCUUUGUCUCACACCGGAAAACCUGCUCGGAAAAUAAAUGCCCCAACAAAUCCGCCACCAAAUCCUAUCGAUUCCAUCUCGCCAUGCCUCCCUGCCGCGACGUCGCCCUAUCUCCAUGCCUCAUCGCGCGCGCCUCCACACCAUCGCGUAGUCGUACUAGCCUCACUCCACGCGACCCCGACACCGAGAUUCUCGCCGUUCCGGUGAGUCGAGAUGAUCUUGCAGAGAAAGUACCAAGAUGGGAGAAGGGGUCGUCAAGCGGAUCUGAGCACCAUCCCGUGCUGUGGGUUGCCUUCGUGAGGUUCGCACCCCUCCUUCCUGAUGCCCCCCUUCUUCUCCCCCAGCGGCAGUCAUGGUGGCUCGGUGGCAGCCCCGCAGCAUCGAUGGGAGAAAUCCCAUGGGAAUUAUCGAUGGUGAAAGCCUCGUUGCCCAGGCUUCCUGCUUCGAUCUGCCCCACUGUCCUUUCAUGGGCCUCAAUCUGCCCCACAAUAUCAUCAACAAGCCAACGUCAUUAAAGUACAUCACGGCCUCUUUCUGGAGCAAUCGAUCGACCACUCUUCUUCCUGGGAUAAAGUAGCGGCCAAUGGAUCCAUCUGUGAGCGGCCACAGCCGUCGUUCCUUCCGGCAAGGUGAGACGUCAAGCAGGAAAUAUCUUGGUCAUUUUACACUUGCAUUGUACGACAUGGAGGUCAAGAGGAUGUAUCCGCCUCUCCUAGGUCCAGGACAUGCCUAUACACGUAGCAGCAGUGACAGUCCAUCAGUUUCUUUCUUUUCUUCAAGAGGUUCAGUUUAUUUACAUAACUAUUUUUUGUGGCCCUUCUACAAGGAGAUUACAUCUGAGUCUUUUUUUCUUCCAUUGAGGUCUGGUGCUUGGGUAAUAUACGGGUUUAUUGCUUGUGGGGUUAACAUGCUAUAUAAAUUCAGAGCUUUAAACUAAUCUUGUGGUGAGUUCUUAUUGUAGGAUGCUAUUGCGUGGUCUUUUCUGCCCAGGUAACUAGAAUGUUUUCUAUUUUAAUUUAUCUUGAUUACUUGUUGAUGAAGUGAAGUGAUCUAAUCAGACAAUUCAAUUGACCAACGGGACGAUUCCCUCAAGUGAGGAUUUGAGAUGAUAAUUGAGAUGUAGAUGACAAAGGUUUUCACUAGGUAACGGUAUUUUUGUUUAUAAGAGGUAAUGAUAUCAUGCAUUCAUGGACGAAAGUCUGGAUUAAUUAUGCUUAGGAGGCGGCGGUAUAGUGUUGUCUCUUAAUUAAUAUAGGCGGAUGAUGAAUUUGAUCUGCUCCGGUCAGAGUCCGACUGGAUACAUACUAUAAUAUAGCAAUGUGCAAAUACAUGAUUGAUGAUUGUCACUUUAAGUUCUUUCGCGAAGUCCAAUUGAUGAUGAUUAUUACUGCAAGGAUACAACCACAGAGGGAGUAUUAUCGCAGGUCACAGGUCGCGCUCCGGUCAGAGUCCGACUGGAUACAUACUGUAAUAUAGCUCUGAGGACGGCUGGAUCAGUGAGCUAAACUAAUCAUUAAUCAUUUUUUGCAUCUUCUUCUUAUUUUGUUUCCUUCUCUGUCCCGCUUUUCUUCUCCUUGCACCCUAAAUCAGUAUAUUAGGUUCAUAAGAAAUCAAAUAUUUCUCUGACUUGCAUUGUUCAACUUUCUAUUGCCGUUCCAAUGUUUGUCUUUUCUUCUCUAUAGUAAGAAGUUGUACCUGUCUGCAGGUCAAAGAGAAAAUAUGCAGAUUUUGCCUCUAGGAUGUAUCGUGCCGAUGCAAUUACUGGGAAGUUCUUGUGGGAAUUGCACACAUCUAGGGAUAUAGGGAUCAAGACGUUGUAAAACUCACAUGAGUUGGACUUAUUUUGUUCUUGAGCGUGAGAUGAUUACAUGUGUACCCCGGAUCUGGUUGAGAUAAUGUCCAUCACUCUCCUCUGUAGGCGUGUAGCGCUAGGUUGCGGGCCUGCCGUAAGCCUCCUCCCUCGAGUGCCAGAACCAACAACAAGCGGCGGAGAAGAACAUGCAUGGGCGUGCUGUCGGGGUCAUGUAAUUAGUUUCUAGGAUGUGAGAUCCCGAGGGUCUAAGACAUAUCACUAUAAUAAUAGUGAAUGCAAUACUUUUUAAGCACGUGGUCUAAGACAUAUAUGUAUAAAUAGUGAAUGCAAUAAUUUUUCUGUAUAUGAAAAUUAGAAAUAUGUUAUAACAAGGUGUGCAGGAUAUUUUACUAUUGAAAUAUUAGGUAGUGCAGUAUGAACAAUGUUCUUUAGUUCAGUAUAAAAAGGUGGCAGAUGCAUAUCAACAGCUCAAAUUUUGAUGUUUCGUUUGUGAUUACAGGCUAACCCAGAGAGGAACGUGGUUGUUGCUGCUGCUUGAGGACUCCACUGAAAAAUAGAAGAGAAGAUGAAGAGAAGAGAAGAGAAAGGCCUGCAGAUCUUGAUGGAGAUCAUAAAAAAUUGUUCUGCACACUGGUUGGAGAAAUCUGAAUGUUCAUGUUGGAUCAGUAACCACUUAAUAGCUGCACAAUGCGCUCCAACUAUGCUUUGGUUGAAAAGCAUCUACUAAGCCACCCUUCCAAAAUGCAUUAAGGUUGCUAUUUCUUAUAUACAAAACCUGAACUAACUGUAGUUAACUAUUUCAAUUUUCUCACAUCUAACUAUUCAGAUGUUGUGAUUAUAGGCUAACCCUAUUAUUUAUGACUUGUGAUUUGAUUUUUGUAUUGAUGACAUCUGAAUUAGUAAUACUUGCUCGAGCUUAUAAUUUAUUACUACUGGAAAUUCUGAUUCCUUUUCACCAUGUAUAUAUCCGUGUUCCCGGUUACCUCCUACUGCAGUUCUUUGUGAAACUGACGGUGAUGGAACUUAAAAAAUCACAGACUUGAUAAUUCAUAAAGGUUGAGCAGUGAAUGCCGGUCAUGUGAUUUUGGCUGCUACUUACUCCCUGCCCCAUUGUGAAACUACGGACAUGGCUUAAAUAAUUAGAUUGCCUAACAUACCUCAAUUAUGCGUGCAAUUAAGUCUGCAAUGUAGCAUUUUGAAUAUCUUCAUAUUGUCUGUAGUGACCGCACUUAGUCUUCGCCAGCUGCUGGCUUCAAUUUCUCCUAAAUCUGUAUGUUCUGAUAUAAAGAUUAAUGAACCUGCUCAUGUACGUGAUAGCUCACGUGUGAAGGGAAGUGUCCGUCUAGCUGUGGCUGCUUCAGUUGCCUAUGAUUAUUUGAACUUCAUUGAUGUUGAUUAAUAUUUGAUCUUUACCAAUUUUGAUCA